AUCGACCACAGUGGGCCUGAAUAAAGCCCAUGACGAUUGUCACAGCAGUGAGGAAUAUUGGUCAAUAGCCUAACGGCUGAACCAGCAACUUGGAGGAAUGUAUAGCAAUAGCUACUUGCAUCUUCGUAUACAUGAUGCAAGAUCGACUCUGUCGAAUAAAAUUCUAGGUAGAAUUAUGAUAAUGACAUUGUCUGCCUAUGUGUCUUGACCAAAUUACGUGCCAGCAGUCGCGGUAAUACGUAGAAGACUAGUGUUAUUCAUGUUUAAUCGGUUUAAAGGGUACCUAGACGGUAAAUCAAGCCUACAAAUAAAAGAAAUGAAGGGACUAAUUUGCUAGAGUUACUUAUGAGGGGGUAUUAAAGUACUGCUGGUGUAGAGAUGAAAUUCUGUCAUACCUCUUUUCAAUAGAAAAAUAAUGGCACAGGUAUAGGCGAAAGCAUCCCCUUAUGUGAUAACUGACGUUGAGGGACGAAGGCUUUGUGUAGCGAACAGGAUUAGAUACCCCAGUAGUCAAAGCAGAAAAUGAUGAAUGUCAUAGAUUAGAUAUAUAAGUUUAUUCUAUAAAUGAAAGUGUAAGCAUUCCACCUCAAGAGUAAUUUGGCAACAUUGGAACUGAAAUCAUUAGACCGUUUCUGAAACCAGUAGUGAAGUAUGUUGUUUAAUUUGAUGAUCCGCAAAAAACCUUACCACAAUUUGAAUAUUUAUAUCUUUUAUUGUUUUUUUUUAUUUUUCUUCUUAUGACUUUUAUCCAUGAUUUUCUACUCAGUGAAGAAAAGGGAAGAAUACAAGAAAUAAGAAGAAAAAUAAAAAAAAAUAAUAAGAUAUAUUUACA
RNAcentral lists this ribosomal RNA (832 nucleotides) under Bryoria implexa. RNAcentral's name for it is "SSU rRNA". It matches the Rfam family "Bacterial small subunit ribosomal RNA", at positions 303 to 1030 of the family's 1533-position model. The record is from RNAcentral. Lineage: Eukaryota; Fungi; Ascomycota; Lecanoromycetes; Lecanorales; Parmeliaceae.